UGGGGAAUAUUGGACAAUGGGCGAAAGCCUGAUCCAGCAAUACCGCGUGAGUGAUGAAGGUCUUCGGAUUGUAAAGCUCUUUUAGUAGGGAAGAUAAUGACGGUACCUACAGAAAAAGCACCGGCAAACUUCGUGCCAGCAGCCGCGGUAAUACGAAGGGUGCUAGCGUUGUUCGGAAUCAUUGGGCGUAAAGCGUACGUAGGCGGCUUGGUAAGUCAAUUGUGAAAGCCCUGAGCUCAACUCGGGAACUGCAAUCGAAACUGCCUUGCUUGAGUUUGGUGGGGGAUGAUGGAAUUCCUAGUGUAGGGGUGAAAUCCGUAGAGAUUAGGAGGAACACCGGUGGCGAAAGCGAUCAUCUACGCCAAUACUGACGCUAAGGUACGAAAGCGUGGGGAGCAAA
This 400-nucleotide ribosomal RNA is filed under the name uncultured bacterium. RNAcentral describes it as "bacterial SSU rRNA". It matches the Rfam family "Bacterial small subunit ribosomal RNA", at positions 355 to 772 of the family's 1533-position model. The record is from RNAcentral.